AUUGAACGCUGGCGGCAGGCCUAACACAUGCAAGUCGAACGGUAACAGGAAGAAGCUUGCUUCUUUGCUGACGAGUGGCGGACGGGUGAGUAAUGUCUGGGAAACUGCCUGAUGGAGGGGGAUAACUACUGGAAACGGUAGCUAAUACCGCAUAACGUCGCAAGACCAAAAAGGGGGACCUUCGGGCCUCUUGCCAUCGGAUGUGCCCAGAUGGGAUUAGCUAGUAGGUGGGGUAACGGCUCACCUAGGCGACGAUCCCUAGCUGGUCUGAGAGGAUGACCAGCCACACUGGAACUGAGACACGGUCCAGACUCCUACGGGAGGCAGCAGUGGGGAAUAUUGCACAAUGGGCGCAAGCCUGAUGCAGCCAUGCCGCGCGUAUGAAGAAGGCCUUCGGGUUGUAAAGUACUUUCAGCGGGGAGGAAGGGAGUAAAGUUAAUACCUUUGCUCAUUGACGUUACCCGCAGAAGAAGCACCGGCUAACUCCGUG
Molecule: ribosomal RNA, 490 nt
Filed under: uncultured bacterium
Lineage: Bacteria
Description: partial 16S ribosomal RNA
Rfam family: Bacterial small subunit ribosomal RNA
Source: RNAcentral